RNAcentral lists this small nuclear RNA (287 nucleotides) under Echinops telfairi (small Madagascar hedgehog). RNAcentral describes it as "7SK RNA (ENSETEG00000021998.1)". It matches the Rfam family "7SK RNA". From Rfam's summary of the family: 7SK was discovered as an abundant small nuclear RNA in the mid-70s but a possible function has only recently been suggested. Two independent studies have found that 7SK RNA binds the CDK9/cyclin T complex (known as elongation factor P-TEFb). P-TEFb activates transcription by phosphorylating the C-terminal domain of RNA polymerase II. Lineage: Eukaryota; Metazoa; Chordata; Mammalia; Afrosoricida; Tenrecidae. The record is from RNAcentral.
GGAUGUGAGGGCGAUCUGGCUGCGACAUCUGUCACCCCAUUGAUCGCCAGGGUUGAUUCAGCUGAUCUGGCUGGCUAGGCGGGUGUUCCCUUCCUCCAUCACCGCUCCAUGUGCUUCCCUCCCAAAGCUGUGUGCUCGGUUGAAGAGGAUGAGCUUCCCCAAUAGAAGGAGGACCCCUCCUUCGGUCAAGGGUAUAUGUGUAGCUUUGCUUCCCUGCUAGAACCUCCAAACAAGUCUCCGACAUUGAUGUUAAGGUCACAUAUAAUACUCUUGUGACAAAUAUUAUU